Long non-coding RNA from Herpailurus yagouaroundi (jaguarundi), 1209 nucleotides. RefSeq lists it as uncharacterized. The record is from RefSeq and is a predicted model, not a curated record. The transcript has 6 exons. NCBI's taxonomy places the organism in Eukaryota, Metazoa, Chordata, Mammalia, Carnivora, Felidae.
UCCUCAGCACCCCCUCCCCACCCCGUCUCCACCUCAGGGAGGGGAGUGGUGGCUUGGGCCCCUCCUUGGAGCAAGGGAGGGCACUAAUUGGAUUGGAACACUCCAGAAACACAUCAGCCGCUCCUCCCUGGGGGAAAGGAGUGUGAGGGGGAGGCUUCAGACUGUCUUUGUGAUGGGUCUCAGCCUCACCCUCCCUGCAGCCUCGCCCUGAUUUGGUCCUCACCAGCCUCUGCCCACCCGGAACCUCCCUCGGCACCACUGCCAGCUCGGGGGGGAGGGGAGGGGGCAGACAACAACCAGAUAACCCCGCAAAGAAAUUCAGCCAUGAAGAGGGGUGAGGAAAUGGAAGCCCUGAGAAGUUUAAUGUCGUACGGGAUUGCUGCAGAGCUGGGACUUGCACCCGGGCCUCUGGGUGCUAACGUCAAUGAGCUUCACUGUGGCGUUGUACUGCAUGGAGAAGAUCCUGGAAAGGCUUGCAACAAUUUCCAAAGCGGGGAAGGAGUCCUCCUGUUAGAGCAGGUUGGAAACCACUGAGCCGGGCUGUGGAGGCAGCAUGUUAUACCCCCUCAGCAGAGACAGAGUCAUGAGACCUGAGACCCGCACAUCUUUAUUGGAGCGUCUAAUACAAACACCGAGAUGAGCCGGUCAAAACCAACCCCAUGGCGCACCACCGCUAAGUUUCCUCCAGCUUGAUCUGCAUUCCUUGGAUUGAAAGUGUAACCGACUUAGAGCAAAGUGCAGUACACUUUAAUGUACAGCUUGGUGAAUUUUUACGUACGUAGGUACCUGUGUAAUCUCCACCCGGAUCAGGAUACAGGACAUUUCCAGCACCCUGCAAGGUUCCCUCGUGCUCCCUCCUGGUCUAUUCUCCUCCCCAGAGCCCUAUGAAGAAUGUUGCAGAACAGCAUUUCCUGUAUGAUGUUCCACGGACCCAAGCCUCAAGAAGAUUCCUCAAGGGAUUUCAUAGUGAAAUAUGUUUAGGAAAUGCCAGGCUCCUCUUGAUGAUUCACAAUGUACAUUAGUAAAUUAAAGACUCUGAGAAAUUCUCCAGGAAAGAAGCCCAUUUCAGUUGGCAUAAGUCAGUACCUCCCAAACAGGUGGGGAAGGACUCUGCUCUCAAUAGCAAAAUGGCUCUGGGGUUCCGUGGGACCAGUUUGGGAAACACUGUGAUAGCCGACUCACGAAUAAAGGGCUGAGUGAAAAGCACAG